CCUCGCUGACUUCGUUGAUGGGCCCGCACGGCUGCGACGCGGCAAGGUGCGAUUCUGUCGGGUGCGGCACCUCAGCGAGUGCUUCCGCGCGGCAUUUGUGGGCGAGCGCAUCCACGAGCACAUGCGUAUGUGGUGUGACAUUUGUUUGGGCGGAUCAUGCAUGGGCAGACUGCGAUGAGCCUGCUGUGUAGGCCUUGUCAUCCUCUGCGUAUGGCCUCCUUGAGGUUUGUUUUUUCACGUCGCCGUGUUUCUCCCCUUUCGGGGUGGCAUUUCUCUUUUGCCAUGCGUAAGAAGCAAACGUCCUCCCCACCCGCCUCGCCCCUCGCAUGCCACGUACACUACUGCGAAGGAGGCUGUUACAGUCUCACCCGCAGCAGCAUGUCUCUGCAGCCAUUUGCUGUGUGCACUCGCCUGUCCGCGUGCGUCGUGUCCUUUCACGAUGUUUGUGCCUCGAAGCGGGAUGCGCGCAUGCGAUGCCGGUUCUCUUGUUGUUGGGCUCUCCAAUGUCUGUCGGCAACUCUGUGCCCUACGACGCUGCUGCACGUCUACCAGUCGUGCUUGCGGUGAGGUGCACACGCACAAGGAAACGACAUCAAUAGGAAAACGGCAAGAGCUCGAGGGUGCUCCGAAAGCACUCCAGUAAAGAGAGUUGGUCGGACCGGUGUCACUUUUUGCGUGUUUACGGUACAUCGGGUGCGCGCACAUGUUUUCUUUUUUUUUUGACCGCGUCGUUGCUCGCGUGCUUUCCUUUUCCUCUUCGCCUUCGGUCGUGCCUCCGUGCUUGAUGUGCCUUCUCUGUCUCACUCUUACUUCGGAUGCGAAAGCGAAUCAACGCCCAGUGCACGAGGUGCGCGGGCGCUUGUCUCAAGGCCGUGGGCCACGAGUGAGCGGGCUCAUCUUCUCCCUCUUUUUGGUUGGUCCGGCCGGUGGCUGCUCCUUCUGCGCGCUACAUGUUUUCGCUUUUUUUUCCUCCACAACCGUGGUCCCUCCUCCUUGGCGGUGAUGUCUUUCUCCCAGCCAGCUAGCGUAUGCCGCAGUCUCUGGAUGGUGUUGUGUCGACGAAUGCUCCGGUGCUGGCGUAACGACAACCAACGGCAAAGCCUAAACAAAC
RNAcentral lists this unclassified non-coding RNA (1111 nucleotides) under Leishmania donovani. RNAcentral's name for it is "gene:unknown". Lineage: Eukaryota; Euglenozoa; Kinetoplastea; Trypanosomatida; Trypanosomatidae. The record is from RNAcentral.